RNAcentral lists this ribosomal RNA (406 nucleotides) under uncultured bacterium. RNAcentral's name for it is "bacterial SSU rRNA". It matches the Rfam family "Bacterial small subunit ribosomal RNA", at positions 354 to 777 of the family's 1533-position model. The record is from RNAcentral.
GUGGGGAAUAUUGGACAAUGGGGGCAACCCUGAUCCAGCCAUGCCGCGUGAGUGAUGAAGGCCCUAGGGUUGUAAAGCUCUUUUGUGCGGGAAGAUAAUGACGGUACCGCAAGAAUAAGCCCCGGCUAACUUCGUGCCAGCAGCCGCGGUAAUACGAAGGGGGCUAGCGUUGCUCGGAAUCACUGGGCGUAAAGGGUGCGUAGGCGGGUCUUUAAGUCAGGGGUGAAAUCCUGGAGCUCAACUCCAGAACUGCCUUUGAUACUGAGGAUCUUGAGUCCGGAAGAGGUGAGUGGAACUGCGAGUGUAGAGGUGAAAUUCGUAGAUAUUCGCAAGAACACCAGUGGCGAAGGCGGCUCACUGGUCCGGUACUGACGCUGAGGCACGAAAGCGUGGGGAGCAAACAGGA